AAAAAUUUAGUUAAUAAAUAUAACACUAACAUGUCAAGUUAGAAUAAUUAAAUAAUAAUUUUUA
This 64-nucleotide transfer RNA is filed under the name Lamprigera yunnana. RNAcentral describes it as "tRNA-Asp". Lineage: Eukaryota; Metazoa; Arthropoda; Insecta; Coleoptera; Lampyridae. The record is from RNAcentral.